Molecule: ribosomal RNA, 486 nt
Filed under: uncultured bacterium
Lineage: Bacteria
Description: bacterial SSU rRNA
Rfam family: Bacterial small subunit ribosomal RNA
Source: RNAcentral
UUGAACGCUGGCGGCAUGCCUUACACAUGCAAGUCGAACGGCAGCACGGGAGCAAUCCUGGUGGCGAGUGGCGAAACGGGUGAGUAAUAUAUCGGAACGUGCCCAGUCGUGGGGGAUAACGUAGCGAAAGCUACGCUAAUACCGCAUACGAUCUAAGGAUGAAAGCGGGGGACUCGCAAGAGCCUCGCGCGAUUGGAGCGGCCGAUAUCAGAUUAGGUAGUUGGUGGGGUAAAGGCUCACCAAGCCAACGAUCUGUAGCUGGUCUGAGAGGACGACCAGCCACACUGGAACUGAGACACGGUCCAGACUCCUACGGGAGGCAGCAGUGGGGAAUUUUGGACAAUGGACGCAAGUCUGAUCCAGCCAUUCCGCGUGCAGGAUGAAGGCCCUCGGGUUGUAAACUGCUUUUGUACGGAACGAAAAGGUUUCUAUUAAUACUAGGAGCUCAUGACGGUACCGUAAGAAUAAGCACCGGCUAACUACGUG